This 441-nucleotide ribosomal RNA is filed under the name uncultured bacterium. RNAcentral's name for it is "partial 16S ribosomal RNA". It matches the Rfam family "Bacterial small subunit ribosomal RNA", at positions 338 to 795 of the family's 1533-position model. The record is from RNAcentral.
CCUACGGGGUGCAGCAGUCGGGAAUAUUGCGCAAUGGAGGAAACUCUGACGCAGUGACGCCGCGUAUAGGAAGAAUGUUUUCGGAUUGUAAACUUUUGUCGUUAGGGAAGAUAAAAGACUGUACCUACGGAGGAAGCCCCUGCUAACUAUGUGCCAGCAGCCGCGGUAAUACAUAGGGGGCAAGCGUUAUCCGGAAUUAUUGGGUGUAAAGGGUGCGUAGACGGAAGAACAAGUUGGUUGUGAAAUCCCUCGGCUCAACUGAGGAACUGCAACCAAAACUAUUCUCCUUGAGUGUCGGAGAGGAAAGUGGAAUUCCUAGUGUAGCGGUGAAAUGCGUAGAUAUUAGGAGGAACACCAGUGGCGAAGGCGUCUUACUGGACCGAAACUGACGUUGAGGCUCGAAAGCGUGGGGAGCAAACAGGAUUAGAUACCCGUGUAGUC